Molecule: long non-coding RNA, 2711 nt
Organism: Hipposideros armiger (great roundleaf bat)
Lineage: Eukaryota; Metazoa; Chordata; Mammalia; Chiroptera; Hipposideridae
Exons: 3
Source: RefSeq, a predicted model, not a curated record
UAUAAUUUUUUUGCACGCCAUGAUCAGCACAACCUUCUUCUGUACACCCCGAGUCUGUGAUCAGCCUUGAUUAUUCGGCAGUAGGAGGAAUAUCAUCACGCUUUGGGUGAACUCCAGCUCCCUAUGGCACAGUCAGGAAAUUUUCCCUAGGCAGAGAGCUCACGUGAUUGUACGGUAUAAACUACUAAGGAUGUGUCUGUUCAGAAAUAAGGAUGAAGCAGUGGGCUUUUCUCUAUUUAAUACGUAAGUAAUUGCUAUUUGAUAUAAUGUUCAAAUAGGUCCUUGGUACAUACUCCCCUUAUUCCAAGAAAGUAGCCUAUCAUCAGUUUUUCCCCUAAAUGAAGAAGGUUACUAAAUAAUAAAAAUACAAUUUUUGCCUCUAUAAUUAAUCCUUUUCUCUUAAUCCUAGAGACCAUAAAAACCAAAGAAAAACUGUUUCUUAAAGUCACAUAUUACUCUGUCAUCUUCUUAAAAACUUCAAUCAAUGUCUUUCUAAAAUCUCCCUGUAAUUAAGGUGUGGAAUAUCCUACUUUUUAUUCAUUCAUUCAUACACAGAUAUUUCCCUAAGAAUUCUCAUUUCUCCACUUCAGUCUUGGCUUUGCAAGCAAGCCUGCUAUUUAUUUCUGGUACUGAUCAAUGUCUCUCAGCUUAAUCCUCAAAUGAUUAUAUUCAAACACCCAAAAAAAACACAAAUGUAGCAGCCUAACGAUUUAACUCAAAUUCUAAAUCACUAGUUAUUCAUGUUAAUGGUUAUAAUGAGUUUUUAAAGCAUAUAUUAUCAUUAUUUAACAUGCCAGGAAAGGAGUUUAGUGUUUCUUUUCCUCACUAAAUUUCAAUAAUAGCUGGGCUUAAAAUUACACCAAACCCUUCUGGUUGACCUGUGGGUGUCACAGGGCAGCUAUCCUCUCUUCACACCUUUCACCUCCUUUCUUCUUCAAUGUUCUCUUCUAUUUUGUUUAAAACAGAGGCUCAAGUAAAGUAUAUCUUUUCCACUUUUUUCAUAUCUUAUCCACAUAUUUAGAUAGGUCUACUUGGCAACAUAAUAAACAUGAUGACCAUUUUCUGAGAGGAGAGCUUAUGACACCACGGGUAUUCUCCCUGCCUUCUUUACACACACACACACACACCCCACUACCACUACCACACAGGCAUCCAGGCACUGUUACUGCUCCCUGGUCUCACGCCCUUGUGGAACUGCCCAAGCUGUUUAUGCUGGGAACACUGGGGGUAUCUGUGGGUUUACUCUGCAGCAAGUCAGUUCAUUCGGACAGUGAAAGACUAGAAGUCAGGGUUUCCUAAUUGGCUUUGUGCUUCUCCCCAAAAGAAUGCAAAUGUCAGCACCAUCACCAGGCUCUGCACUCUCUCCACUACUCUCUCCCACUUACCCUGUCUGAUCCAGGUCCCAGCCAAACCAAGUCAUCAGAAUGGAGUAGAAGAGUCACAAGCACUGGAGGGUGGGCUCAGACCCGUGGUGGAGGGGCAUGUGCAGAGGACACCAGUCAUGAUUCCAAAAGGACCCCAUGCCCUAAUAUCACUGCCCCUUCUCCCUCUCCUGUUUCCAGUCAGGGUCCUCAUAUGCUGGUCUGGUAGAGCUAAACUUCUGAUAUUCUUUAAACGCUCUUACUUAAGCCUUCUUUGUCCUGGCAUCUACCCCAUCCACUGUUUCAGGAAUCUCUCACUUCCUUCCCAAAAGAAAGCCCAAAAUACGCUAUUGAUGUCCACACUGCAGAUCCACUCCAACUCAUAUCCUCUCCUAAAUUGUUGGUCUGCAGGGCAGUAACUAUACUUGUGACUAUGGAAAGAAUCUUCUUGCCAAGUGUGUCAUCAUCUUCCAGUUGUAGGUUAGAGCAGUGAAAGGCUAUUUGGUAUAUGAGUGUUUGUGCAAGUCAUGUAGCUGUGGUACCUUUUAUCUCAGUCACCUGGCCACAUUGGUGUCCUCUUCUGUCUGACUCUAGCCCAACAUUUGAAGUAAGUCAAAAGGCUAGUCUUCCUAAUAUCAAUCCCUCUAUUGAAGUCUACCUAGAUUAAUGGGAAACAUGCAAGUGUUGGCCACAGCAGGCUUUCCUUUUGACUUCAGUCAUCUUCUAAAACAUAAUCCCUAGUCAAACAAUGUAACUGAAAUUUCUGCUCCUCCAGAAUUAGCUGCUCUACCUGCCUGCCUGCCUAACCACCAAUGACUCCAUGGCAAGUUCUCUCCAUCAAUGUCAGAAGGUCUUCGGAUAUUCUUUUGGCUACUUCCAAUGUCAUUCCAAGAAGCACUCUUUCAGCACCAUAAUACAGGCCAGAUUUGAUAUUCAACAGCACAAAGACGUCUCUUUCCUUCUUGCCAACUCGAAGCAUGUCUACAUCUGCAAAGGACAAGAAUAGUCAGUAACUGCCAAGAUUAAAUGAAUCAGUCCCCAAAAACUAUAGUGAAAAUUAUGUAGGCAAUAAUAGGCCAAGAACACCCAGUACAAACCACUCGUCACUUGAAGUAUAAAUUUCAUGACCUCUGUGUUAUAAAAGAAACAAACAAAUAAGAAGAGACCUUAGCCCCAAAGAAAUUAGUUUGGAAUUUAGAAAGAAAGUGAUAAACAAGUUUAAGGAUUUUAACAAAAAUUGGCAUUUUUAUCCAAAGCAUAAUCUUGCAUUUCAUCAAACUUCUCCUUAGAAGAUCAUAAAAUGUUCCAUUAUGAAUGUAGCGGAAACUUGAUGAACUAUUGGUUUUGGCU